AUCUCGUCUAAAAUGUAAAAAUAAGCUUCUUUGCAGUGACACACCCAGGCACCUCUCCUCCUCUCAUCAUGUUACGUUUCUCUAAUUGCUAAUUUGCCUAAUGGAUGUGAACUCAACUGUAUGUAGUUAUCUAGGGUGGGGGUAAAAGAAAGUAAAGGGGCAGAGGUCAGACUGGAGACCCCCUCUUGGUGGAAUUUCUUCCUCGUCUGAGCACUUUACUGGAUUAUUUAGGCUAACUUUCAUCUCUGUUGCAGGGACAAGAGGCUCAGAGAGUGCUCUGACCUAAUGACCCCUCUCUCUUUGGAAGAAAAGUUCCAACAUGUGAAGUAUCUCUCACAACCGCAGUCUCAUAAGCAUCACUCUGACUAAGCUCACAACCACGUUUGCCCUACAGCCAAAAGACGGGGUGUCAUUACCAUAGUAAGAACCCACAAGGUCAAGUUUACACAAAGGCCUUUUUCAGUGAGGUUACGAGGAGCUUUAGCUGGGCCGUAGGUCUCUCUGUUGGCCAUUGUGGUUGAUUGGAACAGAAUGUCAGUUUCUUUCAGUUCAGACAAUAUGCACAGUAGGAGUUGCAUGUGUAGCAGGAUGACUGCCCUUUGCCCAUUUGCGGUCCUGCCCCUUUAAUUGUCUGCCACAUAAGAAGGGAUCGGUAGAUCUGCGCUCUCUCUCUCUUUCUGGCGACGGGUGCGUACUUUCUGCUUCCUGGUUGCCUGGCUGCAGGUUUUUGCAGACGCUCCGCACUCUUUGGUGUGGCGCAAAAUUGUGUUCCUCCACGCAGGCGCUGGCAGGUUGGAUGGCGUGUGUCGGCUAGCUUCCCUUUCGGUGCCGGAGUGAUGUUACGCUGAGGGCUCGGCACCCGGCUACCCCGAACCGUACUGUAUUUGGACUGCGGCUGCUUUUUAAAUAUAGAGAUAAAGAGAUAAAACAAACUCUUUUUUAUGGGGAUAAAAUAACCCUCUUUUUAAGGACGUUGCAGUUUUAUGGGGAUUGAUGCCAACACCCUAUGCCAACACCUAAUAUUCCUUAUUUUGAUUUUGUUUUGUUACCUGAAUCAACAGGAGGUGGAUGGCAAGGGAGACUUUUCUGGAUUAUUUUUGUAAUUAUUGUGAUCAUUGAAUUGAUUUGUUUUCUUGAGUUUACACUGUAUAAUUUGAUAUUCUUUUUGGAUUUGUCUUUUGAACCUGUAAAUUCUUGUUUUUGAAUAUAUUUUUGGUCUCAUUUAACUGUUCCCCUUUUUGUGAUUCUAGGUGCUGAGGGCCUCACUGGUGAACCCUUUUUGGUGAUGGUGUCCCCUCGUGUGUAGUGUCUUAUUCACUCCCUUUUUGCUUUACCCUUGUCUGUGUUUUGGAGUGUUAAAGAGUGGAUUGUGGUGCUCCCAUUUUAAGUUUAUACCUUCACCUCUCCCCCUCACUCACCUUGAGCACGAAGGCCCCAGCCCUGGAAAACAUGGUAGAUUGAUAGAUUUUAAUUGUUUUAGUUGCGAAUUAAAUAAACUUUGUAUAUUUCUUUUGGAAACACGUCUCCCGCCUGCUCAGUAUAACAAACUUGUGUUGUC
Gasterosteus aculeatus aculeatus (three-spined stickleback) is the source of this 1558-nucleotide long non-coding RNA. The record is from Ensembl. NCBI's taxonomy places the organism in Eukaryota, Metazoa, Chordata, Actinopteri, Perciformes, Gasterosteidae.